Columba livia (rock pigeon) is the source of this 2120-nucleotide long non-coding RNA. RefSeq lists it as uncharacterized. The record is from RefSeq and is a predicted model, not a curated record. NCBI's taxonomy places the organism in Eukaryota, Metazoa, Chordata, Aves, Columbiformes, Columbidae. The transcript is spliced from 4 exons.
AUCGGGCGGUCGCCCCGCGCGCCCCCCUCGCGCUGUUCACAUCGCGCCGCGCAGGUGAGGCGGGGGGGGUGUGGUGCGCAUGCGCCGGGCCGGCGCCCCGCGGCGUACAGGUGAGGCGGGAGGAGGAGCCGCUCCCCCGUUACCCGCUGGGGUAAUUAGAGCGGCCGCGCUAAUUGCAGUCAGCUGAGCCGGGCAGGCUGCGGCUCACCCCGGCCCGCGCCGGUGAAGGCCUCUGCUCGCAGCCCGGGCCGGUGUCAGGCCCCGGGGCCCCGCUCCUCACCGGUACACGGGGAUAACGCCUCACACAGCGGCCUCGGGCUGUGGGUCACAGAGCCGCCCUCAGGAGCCAGGCAUCCUGCUAUGCCCUGCAGAAUCCAGGAUCCUCUCAAGUGAUGGGAAAGGAAGCAAAAGGAAAACAAAGGGUUUUUCCUGCUAGCUCAUGUCACAGGAAGAGCUGCACUGUCUGAGGGAACCACCACCGCUGGACGAGAGGCGCUGGGCUUCGAGACUGCACAGAGCAAGCUUUGGUGCUCUGCUGUGGUCUCAGAUGGUCUCCCCAGCAGACUGUCUGCAUACGGGAGGUCUUACUGGAUGUGCUGGGGUAACCGUUACAUGGAAAUGUGGGUGAGCAUGUGAUUAAAAGUAGUAUCCACCGUAUUUUUCUAAAGACAUCAGAUUCUUCACUUCCUCUGGCAAUUUGUUCUGCAUCCCCUAGCUAGAGUACACUCGAUGUCCCCCAUCACUUACCCUGAUACCCCUCCGCCUGAGACAGGCCUCUCCUGCUUCACCAAGUAGAAAACCAAAGCACAAAGUCAUCCCUAAGUAAACCUGACCUACCUCUGGGAGUUACACUAGUGUAAGUCGGGACUUGCUGGACUGAAGUCAGCUCAGUUCUGCUGAUGGAAAACAGGCAUAUGAGGAACGUGUCAGCCCCCAGUGCUGACUAGUGCCAGGCAAGGAACAAUUAAACCAAAUUUGGCCCUAAGAAUUGCUCGCCGUCUCCCAGCUGAGCUUAGGACAUUGUUUCCUAGCCGCUUUCAUGAGUGCUUUCUACCCCCCCCCAGUCCUCUUUGCUUCAGGACUGAGGCGCUUUGUGCUCCAUCCACUCGGAUGUAAACAGCACAGAGGAAGCAAUACGGAAACUCCUCCCCACCCUCGCUCUAACCGCUCCAGAGCACUGCCAGCCACUGCGGGGUGUAAAUCACCACAAACCGGGGAGCUCCUUACCUGGGGAGCCUGCGGCCUGGGGCAUCAGCCGCUGCCCGGGAGCAGGUGCCCGUUCCAGUGCAACAGCCGCGCUGCCAACUCCGGCCAUGCCAGAGCACGGGGCCGCGCGGGGGCUCCGGGUCUCUUCACGCGUCAGGUCUCUGGGACAGGUGAGAUGUUCACAGGGGGAAAGGAGACACCAGGAACCAUUUCCAGGUUUCUCCAAAGGACAAGGUACCUUUUCCACGAUGAAUCGGGCUCUCUCUGCUUCUUGCUGGGCCACCUGCUUCAUCUCCACCGCCUCUGUGAACUCCUUGCCAAAGGUCAGGUGGGUCUGUGAGGCAGAAAUUAGGCAAAGUCCACAACGCUGACACCAUGCAACCCGUGCAGCUCCCGGGGGAGGCAGCUGCCCGCCCCAGUGCCGCUGGAACAGAGGUGGAACACCAGUGUCCCUGAAAGGACAGGAACUGGGACACGCAAGCCUCCCCGGCCAGUGCUGAAGUGUCAAGGGAGACGCUAUCAGCACAACUCCAGCAGCCCAGCUGGACCCAGCACAUCCUCCCUGUGUCCCAGCGUGCUUGUGGAGCAGCUGCCUCCUCUACAGCAACAUGCUGCCUCCUCUACAGCAACGUACAGCCUCAUCCAUCACCCGCAGCCGCACUUGCUCUUCAUUUUAACUGUAAAAGGCCUGCAAUAGUGAUGUCUGCUGAUAAGCCAGUGCAGUGGGGCCUUCAAGGGCUCACUCAAGGUCACAGACGGCCAGUGACAAAACCAGAGGCGCUGCCUUGAGCUGGAACCGCAAAAUCCCACAGACAGACAAACACAGUCCACGUGUCAUCCACUGAUUUCCCACUGCUCUUGCUGGCGCAGACUGCAGAGAGGAAGAGCUGAAAAGGGAGAACUCUUACCAAGGA